This 492-nucleotide ribosomal RNA is filed under the name uncultured bacterium. RNAcentral describes it as "partial 16S ribosomal RNA". It matches the Rfam family "Bacterial small subunit ribosomal RNA", at positions 29 to 507 of the family's 1533-position model. The record is from RNAcentral.
AGUGAACGCUGGCGGUAGGCCUAACACAUGCAAGUCGAACGGCAGCACAGUAAGAGCUUGCUCUUACGGGUGGCGGGUGGCGGACGGGUGAGGAAUACAACGGACUCUACUUUUUCGUGGGGGAUAACGUAGGGAAACUUACGCUAAUACCGCAUCCGACCUCCGGGUGAAAGCAGGGGAUCUUCGGAACUUGCGCGAGUGAAUGAGCCGAUGUCGGAUUCGCUAGUUGGCGGGGAAAAGGCCAACAAAGGCUACGAUCCGUAGCUGGUCUGAGAGGAUGAUCCGGCACCCUGGAACUGAGACACGGUCCAGACUCCUACGGGAGGCAGCAGUGGGGAAUAUUGGACAAAGGGGGCGAGCCUGAUCCAGCCAUACCGCGUGGGUGAAGAAGGCCUUCGGGUUCUAAAGCCCUUUUGUUGGGAAAGAAAAGCAGCAGGUUAAUACCCCGCUGUUCUGACGGUACCCAAAGAAUAAGCACCGGCUAACUUCGUG